Long non-coding RNA from Silurus meridionalis, 451 nucleotides. RefSeq lists it as uncharacterized. The record is from RefSeq and is a predicted model, not a curated record. NCBI's taxonomy places the organism in Eukaryota, Metazoa, Chordata, Actinopteri, Siluriformes, Siluridae. The transcript has 4 exons.
CAAUCCGAUCAGCCAAUAGUAGCGCACAAGCCGGAAAACAGAUUAUGGAUCCUACAAUGUAUAGUGCUAUUGUAACCUACAAAACAGGCGGUGGAGAUCCUCUGGGAUUAUCCAAGGACCAGAAGUCAAAUUCUCGGAAAAAAAACUGCUAUUUUUGACAUUGAAGAUAGUCAGCUCUACUACAGAAGAUACAAAGGAACUGCCCGUGAACUGAGAUUAAAGGUUGGCUGUGGUGCAGAGGAUGCAAAUAAAUGCUUUAUAGAGUUUCACGCUAGCAGCAUUGGUGCACAUUGUGGACAAAAUAAACCCAAAGAUGCCAUAUCCAAAAGGUUUUACUGGCCAGGGAUGUCCGAGGAUCUUGACAAAUGGGUGGCUGAAUGUGUGGCAUGUCAGGCCACUAAAGCAUCAAUUAAAGAAGAGGUCAAAAUUACACCUAUACAGGUAAUCUAUC